AACGAACGCUGGCGGCAUGCCUAACACUUGCAAGUCGAACGAGAUCUUCGGGUCUAGUGGCGCACGGGUGCGUAACGCGUGGGAAUCUGCCCUUUGGUUCGGAAUAACAGUUGGAAACGACUGCUAAUACCGGAUGAUGACGAAAGUCCAAAGAUUUAUCGCCAGAGGAUGAGCCCGCGUAGGAUUAGCUAGUUGGUGUGGUAAAGGCGCACCAAGGCGACGAUCCUUAGCUGGUCUGAGAGGAUGAUCAGCCACACUGGGAAUGAGACACGGCCCAGACUCCUACGGGAGGCAGCAGUGGGGAAUAUUGGACAAUGGGCGAAAGCCUGAUCCAGCAAUGCCGCGUGAGUGAUGAAGGCCUUAGGGUUGUAAAGCUCUUUUACCCGGGAUGAUAAUGACAGUACCGGGAGAAUAAGCUCCGGCUAACUCCGUGCCAGCAGCCGCAGUAA
RNAcentral lists this ribosomal RNA (449 nucleotides) under uncultured bacterium. RNAcentral's name for it is "partial 16S ribosomal RNA". It matches the Rfam family "Bacterial small subunit ribosomal RNA", at positions 29 to 523 of the family's 1533-position model. The record is from RNAcentral.